AUGACUAUAUGCUCUAUAUUAUACCUGCAGAUCAUCACAGCAGCCGAAGUUGCUGUGCAGAGGGAGGAGAUCGUCCGAGCAUCAGGCCUCAUCCCGUCACAUAGGGAGGGUAUCCUCCAAACAGCCAGUGUCCCUGCACAGAGGGAGGGGAUUCUCUCAGCAGCCAGCAUCAAUGCACAGAGGGAGGAGAUCCUCAUUUCGUCAGGCCUCAUCACUGCACAGAGGGAGGGGAUCCUCCAAACAGCCAGUGUCCCUGCACAGAGUGAGGGGGUCCUCCAAACAGCCAGUGUCCCUGCACAGACUGAGGGGAUCCUCCAAACAGCCAGUGUCCCUGCACAGAGUGAGGAGAUCCUCCAAACAGCCAGUGUCCCUGCACAGAGUGAGGAGAUCCUCCAAACAGCCAGUGUCCCUGCACAGAGGGAGGGGAUUCUCUCAGCCGCCAGCAUCAAUGCACAGAGGGAGGAGAUACUCCGAUCAUCAGGCCUCAUCCCUGCACGGAGGGAAGGGAUCCUCCAAACAGCCAGUGUCACUGCGCAGAGGGAGGGAAUCGUCCCAAUGGCCAGCGUCCCUGCGCACAGGGAGGGGAUUGUACCAAAGGCUAGUGUUCCUACUGAGAGGGAGGAGAUCCUCCAAACAGCCAGUGUCCCUGCACAGAGGGAGGGGAUUCUCCAAACAUCAAGUGUCCCUGCACCAAGGGAGGAGAUUCACCAGUCAGCCAUUGUCCCUGCACAGAGGGAGGGGGUUCUCCGAGCAGCUAGCAUCACUGCGCAGAGGGAGGAGAUCUUCAGAGCAUCAGGCCUCAUCCCUGCACAUAGGAAGGGGCUCCUCCGAGCAUCAGGCCUCAUCCCUGCACAGAGGGAGGGGAUUCUUCCAGCAGCUUCUUCCAUCAGCUACUAUCAGAAGAAUAAGCUCCUCAGAGCAUCACAAUUCACCCCUGCACAAAGGAAGUUGAGAUUCCUGAUAGCCAGUGUCACUGCGCAGAGGAAGGGAAUCUUCCCAAAGGCCAGCGUCCCUGCGCACAGGGAGUGGAUUGUCCCAAAGGCUAGUGUCCCUGCAGAGAGGGAGGAGAUCCUCCUCACAGCCAGUGUCCCUGUGAUGAAUGAAAACAAUCAUCCACAACCACCUCCCAUCAUCCCCAUGGUGGCACCACUGUGGAAAAUGAUUGGUGGAGCGUGUCCUCCACCUGUGGAUUUCUAUUCCAAGAGAAGAGAUGUCCGACUUAGAUAUGUUGAGCAUCCUGCUAUGAUGUCCAUCACCAAGCCGGAACACUCUGAUGCCAACCCUCAGUUCCAGACUGGCAGCCGGCCGGUGGCCGAGCCCGAGACCCCUGCUGUUCACAAUAACAGUGGAGGCUGGCUCAGCUGGGUCUUUGGGAGUGGAAGAGCUAAGAAGGAGGUUCAUCUACCUGAGGACAAAGACAGAUCUAUUGUCUGGGAUCCAACUCUGCACAGAUGGGUUAACAGAACUGAGCCCAAGGUUGAGAACAAGUGUGUACCACCUCCACCGAUGGGGACAUAUGGAUAUCAGGGGAACACUGGCAGUGUCCCCAAAGGAGUAAAUCCUUACUCUAUGAAAGCAGCAGGUCUAUGGGGCAGCAGAUACCCUACAAUGAAUUACAAUGAUAGGACCAACUCAAAGCCUCCAAGCCAUGGGCCUGGACUGCUUACUAGACAGCUCUCUGGCUUGCUCCCUCCUUCACACUUUGACCUCAUGGCACCAAUGGUUGUGCCACCUGACACUCUACCCUACUGAGGUGCGAGGGCCAUCCUGUGCCACCAGUCAAUUGAUGGUGGAUGACCUUCUGACCCCGUGCUCGCCAGGUGACCCGGCUGCCAUAGAAUUGACCUGGAUGGAUGUGCCUAGCGACAAGCUGCUGUAGCCCAUCUGCAUGUGUCCUGUCAAGCGCCUUUGGAGGGGAGGCGGUAUCACAUCACCAAGGAGCAGCUUGAGUUCCUCAUAGAUUGUCAUAUGACCAUCAGACAAAUGGCAGAUGUUCUCAAUGUGUCGCACUCUGUGGUCAAGUUGCGCAUGAGGUGUAGGAUUGUUAUCCAUGGUGCUGUGGAGGGUUACAGCAGACUUGUUGUGUUUCUGAAGGCCUCUGACAACAACAGGACCGCCACAGUCAUGGAGUCAUUCGAAGCAGCCAUCACCAGCUACGGAACACCAUCCCAGAUAAAGGAACAGGAGAAAUCAUACCAGGAUUAUGCUAAGAAGUGGCAGCAACAGAUGGCUGAAGGCUAUGACAUCGCCAGUAGAAACAUGGAGAAAUCAACAGCAAAGGGAAAAGCCUACUACGAUCGGAAGAAAAUUAGUUCGGUUCUGGUCUCGGGAUCGUGAACUGGUGAGGAACAUGUCAGAACGUAGGGGGCCGGGAAAGCUAAGAUCACACUGGGAGGACCAAAUACAUGUGGUGGUAACCAGGAAAGGUGAUGACAGCCCUGUCUAUGAGGUCAAACCCGAGAGCGGUACAGGCAGGGCCCGGGUUCUGCACCGCAAUAUGCUCAUGUCAUGUAAUUCCCUACCAUUUGAGGAACCUAUUGAAACUCCCAGUAGAGGUCUGUGGAGAAGGGAUCCACCCCAACAAAAUCAGCAAAAUGGGGAGAGCGCUGAGUCUGAGAUCUCAGAUGAGGAUUCUUAUCCAGUAUUCAUCAAUAGGCCACGUAGGGAUAAAGAGAGCAGACAGAGUAGCACACAACUAGUAUCAGAUAAUAGUGAGGAACGGGGUCAGACUGAUACAAACUUCACUGUGAAGGAGUGCCAGCCAGUCCUCAGAGAGAGCCCGGAAGGACAGGGGUAAAUAUGGAAACAGCUGAGGGCUCAGAGACUCACUCAUCUUAUGAUGAAGUGGACACUGAUUCAUUGGGGUCACCCAUGAUCUUUCCCCGCCGUUCAGCCCAGCAGAGGAGGCCCAGAGACAUUCGAACCUAUAACACUUUAGGGCUGCCAAGCUCUUAUCAGGAUACCAACUAGAGAUGUUCUGAUGUGUAUAUAUUUUCUUGUUUACCUUUACUAAUCACAGUGUGAUAAUAUUUAGUGGGGGUUGCGUCUGCCCAUAAAUGCAGACUGGACAUGUCUAGAUAGUUAUAUGGCUGUUAGGCCAGUUUUUUCUGUUGUUCUCAUGACCACUACUUACAUCUUCUGUUUGUUUUGAGGCUGGUGAAAUGUUUGGGACAACAUUUCGUUUUUGCAGGGGGGUGUUGUAAGGGGUCUUAGUACAGUUGUAUUCCAGCCACUAGGGGGUACUCUGGUGAAGCCCAUGGGAAAUAAAGAAAUAUAGUUUAAGUGAAUUGGGAAAAGUAAGAAUGAAAAACUGAAGAAAGUCUGUAGACGGCUGUUACCUGUGCUGACAUGAUUAAAAGUGAAGUGAACUGUACUUUUCGCGUUGUAGUUUAUAUGAUAAGCUCAUUGGAAGGGUAACAUAAACAGAUACAUGUGCUGCCUUUCCAACUGAUGUGAAGUUCCAACACAAAUAUUCACUUGAAAAAGCAAUAGACUUUCACAUUGUAGGCCUGUUGUAUAAAUAAUGUAAUCAUAAUAUAUGCCAUUUAGCAGAUGCUUUCAUCCAAAGCGAUUUACAGUCAUUUGCACAUACAUUUUACGUAUGGGUUGCCCCGGGAAUCGAACCCACAACCCUGGUGGUGGGAUCGGCAUUCUCUA
Salvelinus fontinalis (brook trout) is the source of this 3657-nucleotide RNA transcript. It is a transcript of the gene named microtubule-actin cross-linking factor 1, isoforms 6/7-like, with no coding region annotated. The record is from RefSeq and is a predicted model, not a curated record. NCBI's taxonomy places the organism in Eukaryota, Metazoa, Chordata, Actinopteri, Salmoniformes, Salmonidae. The transcript is spliced from 9 exons.